This 80-nucleotide small RNA is filed under the name Tenacibaculum soleae. RNAcentral describes it as "Flavo-1 RNA". It matches the Rfam family "Flavo-1 RNA". The record is from Rfam by way of RNAcentral. Lineage: Bacteria; Pseudomonadati; Bacteroidota; Flavobacteriia; Flavobacteriales; Flavobacteriaceae.
UAAUAAAUGCGUUAGGGAUUGAAACGGCAUCCUUUUUUUGUUUUUCUCAAAAAAAGAUACAGUGUAAAGCCCGUUAAAAC